This 340-nucleotide ribosomal RNA is filed under the name uncultured Desulfocapsa sp. Its description in RNAcentral is "bacterial SSU rRNA". It matches the Rfam family "Bacterial small subunit ribosomal RNA", at positions 1040 to 1382 of the family's 1533-position model. Lineage: Bacteria; Pseudomonadati; Thermodesulfobacteriota; Desulfobulbia; Desulfobulbales; Desulfocapsaceae. The record is from RNAcentral.
GCUGCAUGGCUGUCGUCAGCUCGUGUCGUGAGAUGUUGGUUAAGUCCCGCAACGAGCGCAACCCCUAUCUUUAGUUGCCAUCAUUGAGUUGGGCACUCUAAAGAGACUGCCGGUGUCAAACCGGAGGAAGGUGGGGAUGACGUCAAGUCCUCAUGGCCUUUAUGACCAGGGCUACACACGUACUACAAUGGCCGGUACAAAGGGCAGCGACACAGCGAUGUGAAGCGAAUCCCGAAAAGCCGGUCUCAGUCCGGAUUGGAGUCUGCAACUCGACUCCAUGAAGUUGGAAUCGCUAGUAAUCGCGGAUCAGCACGCCGCGGUGAAUACGUUCCCGGGCCUU